RNAcentral lists this ribosomal RNA (198 nucleotides) under uncultured bacterium. RNAcentral describes it as "partial 16S ribosomal RNA". It matches the Rfam family "Bacterial small subunit ribosomal RNA", at positions 328 to 539 of the family's 1533-position model. The record is from RNAcentral.
ACGCUCGACACCUACGGGAGACAGCAGUGGGGAAUAUUGCACAAUGGGGGAAACCCUGAUGCAGCGACGCCGCGUGAGCGAAGAAGUAUUUCGGUAUGUAAAGCUCUACCAGCAGGGAAGAAACUGACGGUACCUGACUAAGAAGCACCGGCUAAAUACGUGCCAGCAGCUGCGGUAAUCUGAGCGGGCUGGCAAGGC